AUCCCAUGAUGAGGACAUAUAUGAAGUAACUCAUUGAAUCUGUCUCACGCCUCGUAUAUAGACUCAUCAUCCAUCUGCUAAAAAGUGGUGAUCUCAUUCCACAACUU
Gossypium hirsutum (cotton) is the source of this 107-nucleotide non-coding RNA. The record is from Rfam. Lineage: Eukaryota; Viridiplantae; Streptophyta; Magnoliopsida; Malvales; Malvaceae.